Molecule: long non-coding RNA, 1015 nt
Organism: Malania oleifera
Lineage: Eukaryota; Viridiplantae; Streptophyta; Magnoliopsida; Santalales; Ximeniaceae
Exons: 2
Source: RefSeq, a predicted model, not a curated record
CUUCAGUAAACAAAAUUUCCAGUUUUCUUGAAAAAGUUGUGUGUCUAAGUGGAGGAAGGAAUUGUGUUCAAGUAUGAUUUUUUUUUUUGUCUUUUACAGUUGAUGUUUCUGUGUAGCCAUUGUCAUCCACCAGUGCUGUAUAUUUGUUGUUGAUGCUUCUCUAUUGCAUAAUUUUUUCAUUAUGACAGAUCAUGUGUGUGCCUUUACCCCUUCAACAUGUGAGGCAUUGUGAAAAAAAACAUAUUUAGAUAAAUAAGGUAAAAAUUUAUGCUAUUAAACAAGUUAAAAAAAUAUGAAAAUUUAAAUGCAUUAAGGAUAAUAUAACAACAACAAUUAAGCCUUAAGUCUUACUAGGUGUGGUUGGCCAGAUGAAUUCACCUCAGCCUUUCUGCAUGAACCAGGGCAAUAUCUUUGGAAAAUUGAAGUGCUGUCAAAUUCUAACUUCAUAUCUUAAUUCAAGUGAUGGUUUAAAAAACCCGGACAGGUGGCAAACUCAGUUAAGUAACAGAUUGGUCAUGUUGGUGGGCCAAACGGCUGGUUUUGAAAUGUUGGGAGAGGGCCUCUUCAGGGUUUCUGUUUAUUUGGCGACGAUCACGCUGUGAAAUGACACUUGCUAAGUGGUGUUCAAAAAUUGAGGGCAGCGGCUGUAAUUUCAGCGAGAAGACCAUUGCUGGAGGACCUGCACUGGCAGUGCACACACCCCAUGCACUGGCAAUGUAAAUGUGAGACCCUGUCGACACCUGCUGCAACUUCCAGAAUUGCGUGAUGUUGGUCUUUUUCCCAAGAUUUUGAUGCUGUUUGAUAGAAAACUGAUUGAUUGUGUGCGGUUCACAUUUUGGGGUGAAAUGGUACUAUACGCACCCAAAUGCCAAUUUAAUUGCAGUAUUUUUGGGAAUUCUUAUGAUAUAUUAAUGAUUAUUGUUAGGAAUUGAAAAACUGUCUGUCUUCUAGUGUCAAUUUGAAUUUCUGUUAUGAGAAUUUCAGUUCACCUGCAAGAAUUUGCAUCUGCUGGUGA